Molecule: ribosomal RNA, 209 nt
Filed under: Clostridioides difficile
Lineage: Bacteria; Bacillati; Bacillota; Clostridia; Peptostreptococcales; Peptostreptococcaceae
Description: partial 16S ribosomal RNA
Rfam family: Bacterial small subunit ribosomal RNA
Source: RNAcentral
UUGAGCGAUUUACUUCGGUAAAGAGCGGCGGACGGGUGAGUAACGCGUGGGUAACCUACCCUGUACACACGGAUAACAUACUGAAAGGUAUGCUAAUACGGGAUAAUAUAUUUGAGAGGCAUCUCUUGAAUAUCAAAGGUGAGCCAGUACAGGAUGGACCCGCGUCUGAUUAGCUAGUUGGUAAGGUAACGGCUUACCAAGGCGACGAU